Molecule: ribosomal RNA, 491 nt
Filed under: uncultured bacterium
Lineage: Bacteria
Description: bacterial SSU rRNA
Rfam family: Bacterial small subunit ribosomal RNA
Source: RNAcentral
GAUUAGAGUUUGAUCCUGGCUCAGAUGGAACGCUGGGGGGCAUGCUUUCCCCAUGCAAGUCGAACGGUAACAGGCCUUCGGGUGCUGACGAGUGGCGAACGGGGUGAGUAAUCCAUCGGAACCAUACCCAGUCGUGGGGGAUAACGUAGCGAAAGUUACGCUAAUUACCGCAUACGUCCUGAGGGAGAAAGCGGGGGAUCGCAAGACCUCGCGCGAUUGGAGUGGCCGAUGUCAGAUUAGCUAGUUGGUGGGGUAAAGGCCCACCAAGGCGACGAUCUGUAGCGGGUCUGAGAGGAUGAUCCGCCACACUGGGACUGAGACACGGCCCAGACUCCUACGGGAGGCAGCAGUGGGGAAUUUUGGACAAUGGGGGAAACCCUGAUCCAGCCAUGCCGCGUGCGGGAAGAAGGCCUUCGGGUUGUAAACCGCUUUCAGCCGGAAAGAAAUCGCACGGACCAAUACUCUGUGUGGAUGACGGUACCGGAAGAAGA